Long non-coding RNA from Cotesia glomerata, 401 nucleotides. RefSeq lists it as uncharacterized. The transcript has 3 exons. Lineage: Eukaryota; Metazoa; Arthropoda; Insecta; Hymenoptera; Braconidae. The record is from RefSeq and is a predicted model, not a curated record.
UCUUCCAGACUAUUUUAAAAAAGUUUAUCACUGGAUUUAAAUAUUUUUCAGGUCUACUCUUACAAGCUAGUAGAGGAAAAGUAUACAACGACAACUACCCCUGCAACUACUAAAAGUACUUCAACUACUCCUUUUCCAAUAUAUUGGAUCACUCCUAGACCAAGAAGUCAAUCUAAUACAAUUUCACAGAUUUUUGAAGAUUACGCACAAAAUAAAUUCGCAAAAGCUAGAAAAUUUGAUAGUCACGGAAAACCUAUUGGUGGUGCAAUCUUCAAUGCUUUAGGAAAAGUGAGUCAUGAAGUUGCUGAUUUCUUUGAAGAUUAAUCAAAAUAAGUCAUGUGUCUUUUCAAACAACGAUGCUAGUGUCUUCUUCAUUUUUAUUUUUAUUUUUACUAUUCUUU